AAAAACUCCCUUCCACAUCAUCUGACUUGAUCGUCGGAGGGGUCGGGCCGAGCUUCCGACCCGACCUGUGUGCAGGAACGAAGGCGAGGUCGCACCUUCCAAGCGCCGCGGCGAGGCUUCACCCUCAGGCUACAUCCCAUCCGGACCACCGUGACCGGCCACCCCAGCUGCCCCGAGGAGCGCCGCGCUGGAUCCCCGCG
RNAcentral lists this long non-coding RNA (200 nucleotides) under Musa acuminata (dwarf banana). RNAcentral describes it as "long non-coding RNA (MACU_LNC005737)". Lineage: Eukaryota; Viridiplantae; Streptophyta; Magnoliopsida; Zingiberales; Musaceae. The record is from RNAcentral.